This 324-nucleotide ribosomal RNA is filed under the name Triticum aestivum (bread wheat). RNAcentral's name for it is "partial small subunit ribosomal RNA". The record is from RNAcentral. Lineage: Eukaryota; Viridiplantae; Streptophyta; Magnoliopsida; Poales; Poaceae.
AUGAGCUCGCUGCGAUCCAAGCUCGUGGUUGUCGUUCUGGUCAUGGCAGUAGCUGCUGCUGGCAGCCUUUCCUUGGUGAGCGUGGAAGAAAGGCCAGCUCUACUCCGUGGCAUGGCGCCGUCCACGCCGAACUCAGUGGGGAGCGUCGAAUUGCCGUGGCGGCGCCAUGUGCUGCACCGGGGGGAGAAGAUCCUGGCCUGGCGGUGGCGCCACAAUCCGCCCUCCGGCCCGAGCAGCCGUGGUCACGCCGUUGUCACCGUCUCGCCGGACGAGGAAGUGAAGAACCAGGGUCCCGCCGAAAACAUUGGUCCAUCAGUGCCAUGA